RNAcentral lists this long non-coding RNA (1851 nucleotides) under Setaria italica (foxtail millet). Its description in RNAcentral is "long non-coding RNA (SITA_LNC004609)". Lineage: Eukaryota; Viridiplantae; Streptophyta; Magnoliopsida; Poales; Poaceae. The record is from RNAcentral.
GCUUCCUCCUUGGUGGGUCCCUGCUAGCUUUCUGAAAAACAGUAACAAGGAUCCCCUGAGUACUCAGCAAGUCUGACCCGACUAACCAAUAUAGAUAGAUUCUCUUUUACUGAUUGAUAGCUGUUUGGUGUACUGGCUGACUCACAUCUUGCGAAAAAGCUUACUAUCAGUGGAACCUUGGUUUUGUUAUUUUAUUUUAGUUUGGUUUUUACGUAACCUGUCUGGAUGAAUAAAACAUUUUGAGCACUCAAUGGGACUAAGUCAUACAACAUAUUAAUUCCAUGAAAAACAUUAUAUUCAACGUGAUUACACUACGAUACUUAACAAUGAUCAAAGUGCAUUCAUAACCGAGAAUUGGGGCGAUCUGGACCGAUUUACAUCCUGCAGGAGAUACCCGAGCACCAGCCAUGUACAACUGUACGGGUUGUACACAACAACCUUUCGAUUAGUCGUACUUAAAGAUUGGGAAUAUGACUACCCGAACCCAGGGACGCACCCCCACAUGGGACCCUACGUCUGGCCUAGUCUCCAUGUGAGUUUCAGGCUACGCCCCUACCAUUCUCCAGCAUGUCAAGCACAGGUACAAAAUAUUCCUGAUCAGAGAGCCAACUAACCUACCGGGCUUUGCUGGUCCCAUACCCAGUAAGCAACUAGGUAAAAUCACUUGAUCAAAGGUUAAGACAAUGAACGGUCCUUAACCACAUUAACUUAGCAGAUAGAACUACCAUCUUUAGCUUCUGUCCACAUUUCGAAAAUCCCAGACCAUUUCCUUGAUUAACAUGUAUGACCAUCUUAGCCUUGGUGUUGAGUAACCAAAGUUACUCAUAGGUAUCUAAGCAUUGCUAAGCUUAGGAUAGUUACUAAUUAGUUGAACAGGUGGCAAAGAUGUCCUUAAUAACAAGGUUGGAUUAUGCAUAAAAGUAAGUUUUAAAUCAACUCCUAGACCUAAUCCACAUAUAAAGAAAUAACCAUUAAUAUGACUCAUGAAUAGUAAUUUCUGAAAGUAGAUGGGUUUAAAUGCACCGGAGCUUGCCUGGGAUCAACAAAUGUUAUUCCUUCGAAAAACCCCUUUAGGAAAAGAAGCACUUCAACACUUCUCGGACUCUAACAAUCUUCAGAUGAAUUCCACGAAUUCAUCUUCAGGAGCUUCGACGUCUACGAUUUAGUACAUGUAGGAGUUAGAGAUGCAAACUUUUGAACACAUGACUAUACAACUUUCCUUCAUGAUAAAGUUGCAAGCCAACAAGUGACUAUACAACCUAUCUUCAUGAUAAAGUUGCAAGCUGACAAGUGACAAGUGACUAUACAACCUAUCUUGGUGAUAAAGUUGCAAGCCAACAUUAAACUACCCAUAAAGAUUAACCCACAAUUUUUAAUUUCUUUACUAACCUACCUUAAGCCUUUUCUUUUAUUUAGACAAGCAUUAUAAAUAAAUUCUAAUUUCCAAAACCUAAUUCCUAUGGAUUACUAAGAAUUUGUGAAUAAUAAAACAUUAUUCAAUAUUUUAUACAUUUUAUAAACACUAAGUAUUUAUUUAAAUACCUUAACUAAAGGUACUAAAUAAAUACCUAUUUUUUAUUACCUUUUCCUAGGGUGUAAGAAUUUUUAAUGCAUAAAGAAAGAUAAAAAAUUCCUAAUAAAAUUGGUUUCACUAAUUUUGGACAAUUCUACAAUUUUUGGUGAAUUAAAUAGUAAAAACAUGAAUUUAAACUAUUAUCUCCAAACUGAAAACCUAUCAUUAUCCCCACCCCCCUGAAAAACUUUCUCACUCACCCACGCCCUACCCACAGACUCAGACAUGUGGGCCCGCUCGGUCAAAAACAGAGGCCCGAUGUUGACCGCGGCUUUCCC